AUACGGAGGGUGCAAGCGUUGUUCGGAAUCACUGGGCGUAAAGGGUGUGUAGGCGGCCUCGUAAGUCGGAUGUGAAAGCCCUCGGCUCAACCGAGGAAGUGCAUCCGAUACUGCGGGGCUUGAGUCCCGGAGAGGGGGGUGGAAUUCCCGGUGUAGAGGUGAAAUUUGUAGAUAUCGGGAGGAACACCGGUGGCGAAGGCGACCCCCUGGACGGAGACUGACGCUGAGACACGAAAGCGUGGGGAGCAAACAGGAUUAGAAACCCUAGUAGUCC
RNAcentral lists this ribosomal RNA (274 nucleotides) under uncultured bacterium. RNAcentral describes it as "partial 16S ribosomal RNA". It matches the Rfam family "Bacterial small subunit ribosomal RNA", at positions 523 to 796 of the family's 1533-position model. The record is from RNAcentral.